RNAcentral lists this ribosomal RNA (559 nucleotides) under uncultured fungus. RNAcentral describes it as "eukaryotic LSU rRNA". It matches the Rfam family "Eukaryotic large subunit ribosomal RNA", at positions 68 to 652 of the family's 3401-position model. The record is from RNAcentral. Lineage: Eukaryota; Fungi.
ACAGGGAUUGCCUCAGUAACGGCGAGUGAAGCGGCAACAGCUCAAAUUUGAAAUCUGGCCCUCGGGUCCGAGUUGUAAUUUGUAGAGGAUGCUUUUGGCGCGGUGCCUUCUGAGUUCCCUGGAAUGGGACGCCAGAGAGGGUGAGAGCCCCGUAUAGUCGGACACCAAGCCUCUGUAAAGCUCCUUCGACGAGUCGAGUAGUUUGGGAAUGCUGCUCAAAAUGGGAGGUAAAUUUCUUCUAAAGCUAAAUACCGGCCAGAGACCGAUAGCGCACAAGUAGAGUGAUCGAAAGAUGAAAAGCACUUUGAAAAGAGGGUUAAACAGUACGUGAAAUUGUUGAAAGGGAAGCGCUCAUGACCAGACUUGCGCCCGGCGGAUCAUCCAGCGUUCUCGCUGGUGCACUCCGCCGGGCUCAGGCCAGCAUCGGUUCCGGUGGGGGGAUAAAAGUCGUGGGAAUGUGACUCCUCCGGGAGUGUUAUAGCCCGCUUCAUAAUGCCCUCGCCGAGACCGAGGUACGCGCUCCGCAAGGAUGCUGGCGUAAUGGUUAUCAGCGACCCGU